CACAUCCUCUUGCUUACCACAGACUGUUUUUUCUUUGAACAGACUGUAUAGAAAAAGGAGGCAGAGAAACUUUCCUCUUUUCUACCUCAGUCAGGACUCUGUGUGUGCCCUAGCUGUAUUGUGAAAGGAGAGUAUUUG
Small nucleolar RNA from Gracilinanus agilis (Agile Gracile Mouse Opossum), 138 nucleotides. RefSeq annotates it as small nucleolar RNA SNORA51. The transcript has a single exon. The record is from RefSeq and is a predicted model, not a curated record. Lineage: Eukaryota; Metazoa; Chordata; Mammalia; Didelphimorphia; Didelphidae.